RNAcentral lists this unclassified non-coding RNA (379 nucleotides) under uncultured bacterium. Its description in RNAcentral is "contains 16S-23S intergenic spacer region". The record is from RNAcentral.
UCCGAUUUGUCACCGGCAGUCUCCUAUGAGUCCCCGACAUAACUCGCUGGCAACACAGGACAAGGGUUGCGCUCGUUGCGGGACUUAACCCAACAUCUCACGACACGAGCUGACGACGGCCAUGCAACACCUGUCACAGGGUUCCAAAAGGCACACUCUACUUUCGUAGUGCUUCCCUGGAUGUCAAGCCCUGGUAAGGUUCUUCGUUUAUCGUCGAAUUAAAGAACACGAUCCACCGCUUGUGCUGAUCCCCGUCAAUUCCUUUAUGUUUUAGUCUUGCGACCGUACUCCACAGGCGGGAUACUUAACGCGUUAGCUUCGCUACUGAAGGGGUCGAUACCUCCAACAGCUAGUAUCCAUCGUUUACGGCGUGGACUAC